This 390-nucleotide ribosomal RNA is filed under the name uncultured bacterium. Its description in RNAcentral is "bacterial SSU rRNA". It matches the Rfam family "Bacterial small subunit ribosomal RNA", at positions 28 to 402 of the family's 1533-position model. The record is from RNAcentral.
GAUGAACGCUGGCGGCGUGCUUAACACAUGCAAGUCGAGCGAAGCGCUUUGGUUAGAUUCUUCGGAUGAAGACCUUUGUGACUGAGCGGCGGACGGGUGAGUAACGCGUGGGUAACCUGCCUCAUACAGGGGGAUAACAGUUAGAAAUGACUGCUAAUACCGCAUAAGACCACAGUACCGCAUGGUACAGGGGUAAAAACUCCGGUGGUAUGAGAUGGACCCGCGUCUGAUUAGCCAGUUGGCAGGGUAACGGCCUACCAAGCGACGAUCCAUAGCCGCCUGAGAGGGUGAACGGCACAUUGGGACUGAGACACGGGCCCAGACUCCGUACGGGAGCAGCAGGUGGGAAUAUUGCACAAUGGGGGAAACCCUGAUGCAGCGACGCCGCGU